ACGCACGCUGGCGGCGUGCUUAACACCUGCCAGUCGAACGGAAAGGCCCUGCUUUUGUGGGGUGCUCGAGUGGCGAACGGGUGAGUAACACGUGAGUAACCUGCCCUUGACUUUGGGAUAACUUCAGGAAACUGGGGCUAAUACCGGAUAGGAGCUCCUGCUGCAUGGUGGGGGUUGGAAAGUUUCGGCGGUUGGGGAUGGACUCGCGGCUUAUCAGCUUGUUGGUGGGGUAGUGGCUUACCAAGGCUUUGACGGGUAGCCGGCCUGAGAGGGUGACCGGCCACAUUGGGACUGAGAUAGGGCCCAGACUCCUACGGGAGGCAGCAGUGGGGAAUAUUGCACAAUGGGCGGAAGCCUGAUGCAGCAACGCCGCGUGCGGGAUGACGGCCUUCGGGUUGUAAACCGCUUUCGCCUGUGACGAAGCGUGAGUGACGGUAAUGGGUAAAGAAGCACCGGCUAACUACGUG
RNAcentral lists this ribosomal RNA (467 nucleotides) under uncultured bacterium. RNAcentral describes it as "partial 16S ribosomal RNA". It matches the Rfam family "Bacterial small subunit ribosomal RNA", at positions 29 to 507 of the family's 1533-position model. The record is from RNAcentral.